GACGAACGCUGGCGGCGUGCUUAACACAUGCAAGUCGAACGGAAAGGCCCUGCUUUUGUGGGGUGCUCGAGUGGCGAACGGGUGAGUAACACGUGAGUAACCUGCCCUUGACUUUGGGAUAACUUCAGGAAACUGGGGCUAAUACCGGAUAGGAGCUCCUGCUGCAUGGUGGGGGUUGGAAAGUUUCGGCGGUUGGGGAUGGACUCGCGGCUUAUCAGCUUGUUGGUGGGGUAGUGGCUUACCAAGGCUUUGACGGGUAGCCGGCCUGAGAGGGUGACCGGCCACAUUGGGACUGAGGUACGGCCCAGACUCCAACGGGAGGCAGCAGUGGGGAAUAUUGCACAAUGGGCGGAAGCCUGAUGCAGCAACGCCGCGUGCGGGAUGACGGCCUUCGGGUUGUAAACCGCUUUCGCCUGUGACGAAGCGUGAGUGACGGUAAUGGGUAAAGAAGCACCGGCUAACUACGUG
RNAcentral lists this ribosomal RNA (468 nucleotides) under uncultured bacterium. RNAcentral describes it as "partial 16S ribosomal RNA". It matches the Rfam family "Bacterial small subunit ribosomal RNA", at positions 28 to 507 of the family's 1533-position model. The record is from RNAcentral.